AGAGUUUGAUCAUGGCUCAGACUGAACGCUGGCGGUAUGCUUAACACAUGCAAGUCGAACGGAAACGAUACUAGCUUGCUAGUAGGCGUCGAGUGGCGGACGGGUGAGUAACGCGUAGGAAUCUGCCUGAUAGUGGGGGAUAGCCCGGAGAAAUUCGGAUUAAUACCGCAUAAUCUACACGUAGUAAUGGAGGCCUCUAUUUAUAAGCUUUCGCUAUCAGAUGAGCCUGCGUAAGAUUAGCUUGUUGGUGAGGUAAAAGCUCACCAAGGCGACGAUCUUUAGCUGGUCUGAGAGGAUGAUCAGCCACACUGGGACUGAGACACGGCCCAGACUCCUACGGGAGGCAGCAGUGGGGAAUAUUGGACAAUGGGGGCAACCCUGAUCCAGCAAUACCGCGUGUGUGAAGAAGGCCUGAGGGUUGUAAAGCACUUUCAAUUGUGAAGAAAAGCUAAAGGUUAAUAACC
RNAcentral lists this ribosomal RNA (464 nucleotides) under uncultured marine bacterium. RNAcentral's name for it is "bacterial SSU rRNA". It matches the Rfam family "Bacterial small subunit ribosomal RNA", at positions 8 to 468 of the family's 1533-position model. The record is from RNAcentral.